RNAcentral lists this ribosomal RNA (426 nucleotides) under uncultured Azospira sp. RNAcentral's name for it is "bacterial SSU rRNA". It matches the Rfam family "Bacterial small subunit ribosomal RNA", at positions 356 to 774 of the family's 1533-position model. The record is from RNAcentral. Lineage: Bacteria; Pseudomonadati; Pseudomonadota; Betaproteobacteria; Rhodocyclales; Rhodocyclaceae.
GGGGAAUUUUGGACAAUGGGGGCAACCCUGAUCCAGCCAUGCUGCGUGCCUGAAGAAGGCCUUUGGGUUGUAAAGCUCUUUCAGCCGGGAAGAAAUCGUGCAGGCUAAUAUCCGUUGUUGAUGACGGUACCCGCAUAAGAAGCACCGGCUAACUACGUGCCAGCAGCCGCGGUAAUACGUAGGGUGCGAGCGUUAAUCGGAAUUACUGGGCGUAAAGCGUGCGCAGGCGGUUUCGUAAGACAGACGUGAAAUCCCCGGGCUCAACCUGGGAACUGCGUUUGUGACGUCGAGGCUAGAGUACGGCAGAUGGGGGUAGAAUUCCACGUGUAGCAGUGAAAUGCGUAGAGAUGUGGAGGAAUACCGAUGGCGAAGGCAGCCCCCUGGGUUAGUACUGACGCUCAUGCACGAAAGCGUGGGGAGCAAACA